Molecule: ribosomal RNA, 220 nt
Filed under: uncultured bacterium
Lineage: Bacteria
Description: partial 16S ribosomal RNA
Rfam family: Bacterial small subunit ribosomal RNA
Source: RNAcentral
UAAUGUAUGGGGAUCUGCCCGAUAGAGGGGGAUAACUACUGGAAACGGUGGCUAAUACCGCAUAAUGUCUACGGACCAAAGCAGGGGCUCUUCGGACCUUGCACUAUCGGAUGAACCCAUAUGGGAUUAGCUGGUAGGUGGGGUAAAGGCUCACCUAGGCGACGAUCUCUAGCUGGUCUGAGAGGAUGAUCAGCCACACUGGGACUGAGACACGGCCCAG